Molecule: unclassified non-coding RNA, 5413 nt
Filed under: Amphibalanus amphitrite
Lineage: Eukaryota; Metazoa; Arthropoda; Thecostraca; Balanomorpha; Balanidae
Description: gamma-aminobutyric acid type B receptor subunit 2- like, transcript variant X2
Source: RNAcentral
GGCCAGUGUGUGUCACAGACCGGGCCGGGGAUGGCGGCACGCGCGGCUGACCUGUGACCUGACCUGACCGGCCGGCAUGGCGGUGCGUCUGGGCGGCCCGCUGCCGCUGCUGCUGCUGCUGGCCGCGGCGGCCGCUGCCAGCAGCAGGGACGGCAAGGAGGACAUCCAUAUCGCCGGCUUCUUCCCUAUGACGGCCGGCGAGCUGGGCGUCAGCAGCGACGGAAACGACCCCGGCGAGCUCGGACGGGGCGUCAUGCACGCCGUGGAGCUGGCCGUCAAACACGUCAACAAGGCCAGAGACGUGCUGCCCAGCGUGCGGCUGCACGUCACCUGGAACAACACCCAGUGCAGCUCAGCUGUGGCGAUGAAGGCGUUCUUCGACAUGAUGUCGAACGGGUCGCACAAGAUGGUGCUGUUCGGGGCGGCGUGCACGCACGUCACAGAUCCGAUCGCCAAGGCGUCCAAACACUGGAAUCUGGCCCAGCUCUCCUACGCCAACACGCACCCGAUGUUCACCAAGCGCAACUUUCCAAACUUUUACCGGAUCGUGCCCAACGUGCGCUACCUGGACGUGGCUCGCGUGGAGUUUGUCAAACUGCACGGCUGGAAGAGGGUCGGCACACUCUGCCAGGAUGACCCCCGCUACACACUGGCGCACAACGGUAUGGUCAAGCUGCUCGACACAUUCCAAGUGGACGUGGUUGCCAUGGAAACGUUCGCCGGCAAGCUGACCGACCAGCUGGAGAAGCUGAAGGCCAAGGAUGUGCGCAUAGUUUUGGGCAGCUUUGACGAGAGCUGGGCGAGGCGGAUAUUCUGUGAGGCGCGCCGAGUGGGCAUGUUCGGCCGCCGCUACCAGUGGCUGCUGGUGGGACUGUACAGUGAGCGCUGGUGGGAGCGGGACCAGUUCGCCGGACCGGAGCCGGCCGACCCGGCCGAGCGCUGCUCGCCAGAGGACGUGGUGCCCGCACUCCAGGGCGCCGUGCUUACCGACGUGCUCCACCUGAGCAACAGCCGGCGCAGGGUCAUCUCCGGCAUGACUGCCAGCGAGUACAAGAAGCAAUACGACCACGUCCGCGGGAAGGACUACUCUCGGUUCCACGGGUACGCCUACGACGGCAUCUGGGCCAUCGCCUCUGCUCUGCAUCAGGUGACGUGGCGCAUCCGUCACAACCAGUCCCCGCUGCCGAGCUGGGCCAACCUCAGUGAUUUCCGCUACCAGGACGAGCGCUGGGAGACGGUGCUCAAGUCGGCCCUGAACGACAUCAGCUUCGAGGGUGUCACGGGCUCGGUGAAAUUUUCAGAAAAUGAGCGGAGAGGUUUCGUCGUCUUGAAGCAGUUUCGAGACAACCGCACGUCGUUUAUCGGCGUGCACGACCUGAACCAGCUGCGCUGGCUCACCCCGGAGGACGACGACCGGAUCGAGCCCAUCUGGUGGUUCUCUGGCAAACAGCCGCUGGACCAGACCAUCCGGCACAUCGAGAAGGCGCGCGUCAACGUGCAGCUGUACGCGGCGCUGGUGGUGGCUGCCUCACUGGGCAUCGUCAUGGCCGUCAUCUUCCUCUUCAUCAACAUCCGCUUCCGCAACCAGAGGUACAUCAAGAUGUCGUCUCCGUACCUCAACAACCUGAUAAUCAUCGGCUGCAUCCUGACGUACACGUCUGUGAUCCUGCUGGGUCUCGACUCGAGCCUCACCUCUGAGGAGUCCUUCCCCGUCGUGUGCGCCGCCAAGACCUGGGUGCUCAUGGCCGGCUUCACCCUGGCAUUCGGCUCCAUGUUCUCCAAGACGUGGCGGGUCCACUCCAUUUUCACGGACGUCAAGCUGAACAAAAAGGUCAUCAAGGACUACCAGCUGUACAUUGUGGUCGGAGUUCUGCUCUCUAUCGACAUUGCCAUAAUGACCACCUGGCAGAUCGUCGAUCCGUUCUACCGGGAGACCAAGCAACUCGGACAAUAUCCUCACCCUCAGAACGACGACGCCAUUAUCAUACCAGAGAACGAGUACUGCAAGUCGCACAAGAUGACUGUCUUUGUCGGCUGCAUAUACGCUUAUAAGGGGUUACUAAUGAUAUUUGGCUGUUUUUUGGCAUGGGAGACGCGCCAUGUGAAUAUCGCUGCUCUGAACGACUCCAAGUACAUAGGUAUGAGUGUCUACAACGUGGUAAUCAUGUGCGUCAUCGGCGUGGCCAUCUCGUUCGUCCUGUCCGACGACCAGGACGCCUCCUUCAUCAUCAUCUCCGUCUUCAUCUUGUUCUGCACCACCGGCACGCUGUGUCUAGUCUUCGUACCUAAGCUAAUUGAGCUGCAGAAGUCGAAGCGGGCGCCGCCGGGCCGGCUGCGCGCCACACUGAAGCCGCCCCGCUCGCGGGGCUACCAGUGCACGGUGAACGCCGCCGCGCUGGGCAUCAGGGAGAACAUCCGCCGAUCAGAGGACAUGGCCACCCGGCUGCGGCUCAAACUGCGCGCCCUCGAGCAGGAGCUGGACCACCUGAUGCGUCAGGUGGGGGACGAGGCUCAGGAGUACCUCAACCAGCGGAUGGCCGGAGCGCGACUCACCGUGCCGCGCCUGUCCUGUCUGGGCAUGGAAGGCAAGCCACGGCCCUCGAUGACAGAGAGCACCGAGAUAACAUCGCUCUGCUCUUACACAGAGUACGAUGUGGACGCGCCGGAGCCCAGCCUCAGGAAGCGUUCGUCGGUGCAGCACACGCUGCUGCCGUCGAUUGCCGCGUCGACGGACAACUUGGGUGAGCUGCCGUCGCCGCCGACGUCGCCGUUUGUGCCCUUCCAACGCAACUACCUGGUCGCCAACGGCCUCGAGGUGGAGCUGGGGAACAUCAUCGUCGAAAACGUCGACGAGCCGAGCUGUUACGCGGUGAAGGACGGGGAGGAGAGUCUGGCCGAGGAGCCGGCCGUCGAGCUGCUGCUCGGCCAGUCGGCGCCGGCCGUGCACAAGUUCGGCCGCAGCUCUCUGGACUGUGUCAUGCACCACGGUCUGCUGUCGGUGCCGGCCAGCGACGAGCCGCUGCUCCGCCGGCGCAGCGACCCCGGCGUGCGCCAGUACAGCCUGGCCAGCGCCAUCAACGCGCUCAACGCCAGCCUGGCCAACAUCAUCAACGCCACGUCGUACAGCACCGUCACCAACAACAGCAGCUCCAUCUCGCGCUUCAUCGAGGAGGCCGCCUUCCAGGCGCUGCACUCGUCCAGCUCCGACCCCAGCCACCUGGAGGGCGGCGACGUCGGCGACGGCGCCGACCUCGACUCGCCGCCGCCCGACGACGACUCGGACUCGGCGCGACUCGGCGAGUCGAGCGGGCCGAGCGAGCCGAGCGGCUCCAGCGCCGAGGCCACCACGCGCUCGCUGGACUCGCUGUCGGCCGAGUGCGGCGACUCGGACCUCCAGUCGGUCUCCGAGUCGGCGCCGCCGCCCCCCGGGCACGCCCUCCUCGUCAACGGAGACGUCCUCCAGAUGCUGCGCAUGCGCAACAGCCAGCUCAGCGUUAAACCGGUCGCAGAAUCAGACGGCGGUGACGCUCCUCAGCCGGACCGGUCGUCAUUCUCGGCGCGCUCCUCGGCCUCCUGUCCCCGUCUGCUGGGUGACGCGCCCCUCAGCCUGUCGGCAGCGCCGGCCGGCGGCGACGGGCCCCUGUCGGGCGCCAUCCUGCCCAUCUUUCACAAACUGGUCAGUGAGCGGCAGCGCGCGCGGCCGGCGCCUGUGCACGCGGCUGCCUCCUGUCCCAACAUCACCGUCAAGUGCGACAUCGUGCAGUACUUGUAGCGCGCCGCUGGCGCACAGACACUGGUGGCGCGGGCGUGACGCGCCGGCGACAGGUGUGACGCGCCGGCGACCGAUCUCUCUGUGGUGUAUGAGUAUUUUUACUACCAACAGACCUGAAAGGCUAUCUUGAGUGCGAUGCUAGUCUGUCCGUGACCAGUGACGUUGGAGCAGCACGUAUGUGUGCGAUGUUAUUUGUGGUGGCACGUGCCGUUGUGGCGAUGCGUUUUCGUGUGUGUGUGUGUGUGUGCGUGUGUGUGUCGCUCUGUGCGCUCUCAAAAUGAUACGCUUCCAUUCGUUCCAUAGCCGGUGGACGACCCGUGCUUGUGUGUCGGCUGGCUGCGCGCAGCUGAGUGGGUGCAGGGAGGGUGCAGGGCGGGGUGCAGGGGUGCACGGAAGGAUGCGGGUGUUGCUGUUGAUCUCAGUGCUGGUGCUGGUGCACAUGGGGUGUAAGUGCUGGAGCGGGUGCGGGUGCGAGUGCGGUAUCCCUGACUCCUGAUCUGCAUUCUGACCCCCCCCCCCCCCCCCCCCCAGGGAGUUACCAACGCCCUGCUCGCUGCUCAAAAAGUUAACGUUCCACGCCUUUUCGAACAACUGACGCGUGAUUGAUAAUAUAUUGCCUGCUAAACAGCGAAAAAAAUCAUUGGCUGACCAUCCAUCUUGGAAGCAUGUUACCUCUAUAUUUUUUAGCGAAUCAAUUAUCUCUGUUUCACAUGACUAAAACAUCUCGCAAACGAUUAGACAAGCUUGUAUUCGGAAUUCAAUACAUUAACUUUACAUCAGAAAAGAACUUAAUGUCGCGGCUGAGGCAGAGCUCUCAAAAGCUGCGUUUCCGAGGUGACAAAGCCUCCUGAAGUCGGUCGGUCGCUGCCAAAAUGAUGAGCGGCCGCGGAAAAGAGUGCUUUUCGCGUCCGUCGUUUUUAAUCUAAGUUUGGGAAGUGGAGAGAAGCUGUCGUCGGACGGCGCACCGCUAUCGUAUUUUUCCGCGCCAUCCCACUCCCUCCGAACUUGAUGACGGGCCAGUGCGCCGCCCUGGUUAUGACAAGUGACGGCUCAGGACCAGCCUCGGCUCAAACGGAGCAGGCGGCGGGGAAAUACGGACGAUUAAAUGCUCAAUCAACAGUAUAUUUUUGCAUUUUCACUCAAGCAAUCAACUGUCCGCGUUGCAUUAAAGUUCAAACUUACCUAAUUAAUAUAACAAUAAUGGCAUUAAUGUUUCACAGUUGGUGAAUCUGUUUUUGACUCGCACGGGUUCGGUAGAUGCCACGAUGGAGCUUGCCGCCCUUCCUUAGACGACCAAAGAGACGGGCGGAGGCCCCCAUUCCAGCUCCAGUCGGUCUGAAUAGUGACUGGUUAUCUUCCGAGUCACUAGCCAGUCGACCGAAAGGAAGCGCCGACCGGAAACGAUUGAUAGUCGACGGAAUUCGCCCAAAACAUGGCGUAUGCGACGCGGAGGAUGCAGUCAGUGCCAUGUGGGGUGGGUGAUUGAACGAUGACCUGGUCAGGUCAGAUCAGGGGUCGGUGGAGCCUGGGGUCAGGUCAGACCAGGGAGCGGGACAGAGUAGAGGUCAGGUCAGGGGUCAGGUCAGACCAGGGGUCGAUGCAGAGCAGAGGUGAGGUCAGGGGUCAGGUCAGACCAGGGAG